Molecule: transfer RNA, 67 nt
Filed under: Holothuria poli
Lineage: Eukaryota; Metazoa; Echinodermata; Holothuroidea; Aspidochirotida; Holothuriidae
Description: tRNA-Ala
Rfam family: tRNA
About the family: Transfer RNA (tRNA) molecules are approximately 80 nucleotides in length.
Source: RNAcentral
GUGAUUUUAGUUUAAGUUUAAAAUUUCUGCUUUGCACGCAGAGGAUUCAGAGGAUCUGAAAAUCACA